Long non-coding RNA from Clupea harengus (Atlantic herring), 529 nucleotides. NCBI's taxonomy places the organism in Eukaryota, Metazoa, Chordata, Actinopteri, Clupeiformes, Clupeidae. The record is from Ensembl.
GUCUGCCCUGACUUCCUCACUUUCAUCAACUUUUCGAUUGGGCAAACACAAUUACUUUCAUGCACGGCAGGUGGGCCCACCUACAACUUAGACGUGCUUUUCAGGUAGGAGUGUGUGCCUGCCUGUUCGUUCAUUCCUUUGUAAUUGUAGGGUCAGCAUUGCGCUGAAAAGGCUUUGAGGACACCGUGUAAUCCUCUCCUCUUUCUUCCUGUGCAAUCACCAAACCUUCACUGUUGACAUUGGACUACGUCUAAUGCCGUAAGUGAAUGAAAGCCUGACGACGAAAGCGAGAGGAGAGUCGAUGCCCGUUGAUGCUGACACAUGAAAGCUGUGUGUGCCUGCCAGCACAGAUAGCGGUUGAUGGUUAUUCCUGGAACACUUACGAUGGCAAGAUGAUGUUCAGACUACACAUAACACACUCUGCAGGAGAGAAUGAGAUACACCAGGACACCUGUCCCACUCAGUCCUAUCAUCAAUACACAGGAAUCCAACUGCACGUCCGGAUGAAGAUGACCCACUAACAAGCACA